UCCUGGUUAACCCAGGCAGUCUCAUUAGAGUCCCCACCUUAAAUGUUGGCAACUAAUGAUAAGGGUUGCGCUCGUUGCUGGACUUAACCAAACACCUCACGGCACGAGCUGACGACAGCCAUGCAGCACCUAUGCAGCAGUCCUUACGGAAGAUCUCAUCUCUGAGACUGUCCACUGCAUUUCGAGCCUGGGUAAGGUUCUUCGCGUUGCAUCGAAUUAAACCACAUGCUCCACUGCUUGUGCGGGCCCCCGUCAAUUCUUUUGAGUUUCACCCUUGCGAGCGUACUCCCCAGGCGGUAUACUUAUCGCGUUAGCUUCGACACAGUCUGGGUUGAGCCAAACUACAUCAAGUAUACAUCGUUUACGGCAAGGACUAC
RNAcentral lists this unclassified non-coding RNA (377 nucleotides) under uncultured Chlamydiales bacterium. RNAcentral's name for it is "contains 16S-23S intergenic spacer region". Lineage: Bacteria; Pseudomonadati; Chlamydiota; Chlamydiia; Chlamydiales. The record is from RNAcentral.